UACGGGGGGGGCAAGCGUUGUUCGGAAUUACUGGGCGUAAAGGGCUCGUAGGCGGCCAACUAAGUCGGACGUGAAAUCCCCAGGCUCAACCUGGGAACUGCGUCCGAUACUGGAUGGCUUGAAUUCGGGAGAGGGAUGCAGAAUUCCAGGUGUAGCGGUGAAAUGCGUAGAUAUCGGGAGGAACACCAGUGGCGAAGGCGACUACCUGGCCCAUUCUUGACGCUGAGGCGCGAAAGCUAGGGGAGCGAACGGG
Molecule: ribosomal RNA, 253 nt
Filed under: uncultured bacterium
Lineage: Bacteria
Description: partial 16S ribosomal RNA
Rfam family: Bacterial small subunit ribosomal RNA
Source: RNAcentral